GUGAGAGGCUGCGCUGCAGGCGGUCUCUGGCUGCUGCUCAGAGACGCGGACGCUCUGCACGCGGACGACGCACAUGAAGUGACGCUGGCCUGCCGGGAGGUGGCGCGGGCCAGAGAGAGCGGCUUCAAGAGCUGUACCAUAAACCACACUGAAGUGACUCUCCACGACGACUUUGCUUUAUUCAUGACGCUAGCGAACUCUCGAGGUCCCUGCGCAGCACCCAGUGAUGGAGGAGCCUUCGCGCCUGCCACUCUUUUUAUAAGACGUGCCACCACCAAAACAGUGGACUUUGGUGCCAUCAUUGCACCGAUUUUACGGACUGUUCCUGUUGUUUUGCCAUCCGCCGAAGUGCUACUGAGCAUCGUGCUGGAGAGCAGAGGCUUUCACGUCUCCGCACCGAUGUUGGCCC
This is a long non-coding RNA of Hyalella azteca, 409 nucleotides long. RefSeq lists it as uncharacterized. The record is from RefSeq and is a predicted model, not a curated record. The transcript has 3 exons. Lineage: Eukaryota; Metazoa; Arthropoda; Malacostraca; Amphipoda; Hyalellidae.